GGUCACGGGGAACCGGAGCCUACCCGGCAACACAGGGCGUAAGGCCGGAGGGGGAAGGAGACACACCCAGGACGGGAUGCCAGUCCGUCACAAGGCACCCCAAGCGGGACUCGAACCCCAGACCCACCGGAGAGUAGGACUGCGGUCCAACCCACUGCGCCACCACACCCCCUGCUAAGAAUUGGCGUGAGAGAUGACAUCAUCAUCCAGUAACCAGUGAAAGGCAGGUGUGGUGGAAGAUUUGUACAUGAUUAUUAUCAACGUUUCAUUUGGCCGGAUUUCAUAUUUGCUGCUCAAGACAUUUCCAUCGAAGCUCAAGACAUUGCUCAUCGGGGUUUUCCAGAGUGCUGUCACAACAGUUUCCAGUGAUUUGUCACGUCUCCAUCAACCACAGCGCAUCGGCGACACCUGCUGUUCCCUGAUGGAACCUAAGAUAAAAAGGGACGCCAAGGAGGAAACAAUGUGGAACCUAGUUCAGCGACUUCUCUUGAAUGGUUGUCUGUGUUACCUGUAUCCCCUUCCUGCCUCGACCUUGGCUUGUUUAUUUUUUUUGACCACGAUUCUCUCCUUGCCCUGCGUAUUCUGUUUGCCGAUCGCCCGACCUUCGUCUGUCCUCGACUUCUAUCUUGGAUUACGUCUGUCUGCUUAUAAACAACAUCGCUUUGAAGAACUCUGCACUUGACUUGAGUCCGUCAUCCAGUGGAACGAAACUAUGACACGAUUAUAUUAUCAUUGCUGAAAGAGGUGGAACCUGUGCUUAUGAGUUCUCAGUCAGAUCAGCAGUACCUGAAAUUAGGGUUUUUCCUGCCCAUGAUAACUGAAAUCCAUUUGAGUGUAUCAGUUGCGCGGGAAGCUACAUAAAAUAUUGCAUUAGCCACAGCAGUACGAUACACACAAUGUAUAUAAACUAAAUAAAGUGCUGCAGUUUGCUGGAAGUUUUUGGCCA
This 946-nucleotide long non-coding RNA is filed under the name Scleropages formosus (Asian bonytongue). Its description in RNAcentral is "lncRNA (ENSSFOG00015032138.1)". Lineage: Eukaryota; Metazoa; Chordata; Actinopteri; Osteoglossiformes; Osteoglossidae. The record is from RNAcentral.